Molecule: non-coding RNA, 135 nt
Organism: Triticum aestivum (bread wheat)
Lineage: Eukaryota; Viridiplantae; Streptophyta; Magnoliopsida; Poales; Poaceae
Source: Rfam
UAUAUACUUCCUCCGUCUGAAAAUACUUGUCAUCAAAAUGGAUAAAAAGAGAUGUAUCUAAAACUAAAAUACGUCUAGAUACCUUUCCUUUUAUCCAUUUUGAUGACAAGUAUUUCCGGACGGAGGGAGUAUUUG